CGCUAAGCUUAGCCAUGUUGCCGGUGCUGGUCGCGCUGGUGGCUUUCAUGCUCGGUCACUUCGUGAGCAUUGACGCGUAUACUGAGGAGUGCUUCCCGGCCGGCACCAAGAUGGGGCUUAUCUUCGAGAUUAUAAGACCUGAUAAUCAAGUGAUUUACAAAGUUGAAAGAGAAUCCGAUGGAAACUACACAUUUACUGCUCACAUGAAUGGAACUUACAAGUUUUGCUUCAGCAACAAAAUCGGAGUUACCCUGAUUCCUAAGAUAGUGAACUUCACUAUUGAUAUUGGAAAAGCUCCACAAGAGCAAGACGCAGAGACAGAAGGUAAUUCUCCUCAAGCGCCUUCACUCACCACUAAGAAUCCCCUUUGGAUUCUGAGGAACCCUCUUGCAUUCAGUCCAACGCCAGGUAAUUCUCCCAAAGCGCCUUUGCUCACCACUAAAAAUCCCUGUCAGACGCAGAGGAACCCUCUUGCAUUCAGUUUCACACCAGGUAACUCUCCCAGAGCACCUUCAGUUACCACUAAGAAUCCCCUUUGGAUGCUGAGGAACCGUUUUGCAUUCAGUCUCACGCCAGGUAAGUCAGAUCUUCCCUCUUCUACUUGCUGCCAUCUUGGUCUGGCCAGGUAGACACUGCAGCUCCGUGCAGUUGUAAGAGACUCACUCCUGCCUGCUUCCCUUCUCUGGGGAAAACGCAUACCUGCCCGAUCCACCAUUCAACUCUCCUCGCUGCUUGAGCCUAUCAGCAUAACUUCUGGUCUGCCACUUUUCCACGCUACAGCUGGCCCUGGUAACUAGUCUGGAGCUCCAAACCGUGCCUUGUUACUUCCUAGUUGGUGGAUAAGAAAAUACUUCAGCCCUGUCUUGGGUAAACAUCUAGGUAAUAAUUUGAAGAAGACAGUCCAGGUAAAGAACUUGUAUACGGGCAGGAUCAGGGCCCAUCUCUUAAGUGAGUGUUUCUGGAUGAGACCAUUUCUGUUGCUGGGUCCUGGUGGGUAGUAGUUUAGUGGAUGUGCAGCGUCAGAACCCAAGUGCCAUAGUGGGUCAGACCAAUGGUCCAUCUAGCCCAGUAUCCCAUCUCUGACAGUGACAGAAAUAGAUGCUUUAGAGGGAGAGUAUUGAACCCGAUUCUGUAGAGUGAUCAAUCCCCUAUCAUCUGUGAAUUUAUCCAGUCCUUCUUUGAACCUGGCUAUGCUACCUGCCUCCACCUCCUGUGACAAUGAAUUCCGUAAGUUAACCAUGUAUUGCCUGAAAAAGUUAUCAAGUAUUUGCCACUACUAUUUGUGUUAGCACAGGAGGCGUUGGAUGAGAAGUAAGAGCCCUAGGCAUGAAUUAGAAUUUCAGUGUGCUGGGGACUAUUAAUAGCACAGAGCAAGAUGGUCCCUAUGCCAAACAGCCAACUUUCUCUGACAAGACAAUGAGAUAUAGUGGGUUAUGGUAUCAGAACACCACCUGCUUAAUUGCUGCUGUCAAUUUUUUUAGGUUCCAGUUUUGUACCAGGAGGCACAAAGGCAUCUGUGGCAGUCAGUGAUGACUAGAAAAUGAUAGAGAUUAGUUUUUAGGAACUAGCUUGUAGCUAGAGUAGAUAUUGCAUUGGAACAGUGGUUCAGGCUUAAUUGGCAAAGGUUAAUUGGUUUCUAAAAGCCUGUUUGUGACACAGUUUCAUAGCCUUCAGGGCAGAUACUGUGUCCGAGGGCCAAUGGACAAGCGGGUAUACGCAUCCUGGGAAUUUUAAGAACAUCCAAACUGUUCCAUAACAAAAGAUAGGCUUGCUGCAUUGGCGCCAAGGUAUAGUGCCCAGCUAUAAAACCCCUGGGAAUUCUGGUUUUGGUGGAUUUACCAAACUAGGCUGGGGUUGCCCAAAUUAAGACACGGGUAAAUGACCAAAUUAAGGUUGUAUGCAUAUGAUGGGUUUGUGGAACCAAAUAAUUAUACUGGCAGAACAGAACGUGGAUAGUAUGACGACCACAGGGAAACCAACUGACGAUACCCAGAAAUGAAGAGUCAUCAGAGGAGAGAGAAUACAGAAGGAGUGAUCCUGAGGCCGCCAUGUGCAGAUGGCACACCACUAGCCCGUUUCACCCACCCCAUUGUGGGGAGUGGUCAUCAGCCUUCGACCUCUAGGCUGCUGAUAUCUGGCAUACUUCAAGCUAAAACCACAGGGUAGUGUUUGUGUAUUAGCCAGAUAUACUUUACUUUUCCUCUGUGACAUCCUCAGGACUGGUAGAUAAGUAGAACUAGGGUGGGGGUGUAUUUUGUUUGUUUUGCCUACACUACUCUUAUCUGCUAUCACUGUGUAUCAAUAAAAUUCGCCUAUUAUUGAAUGGAAGAAGUUGUAGUUGGUCUGAGGCUUUGGGUCUGCCCAGAAUAAGAUAUCAGGACUGGGUCAUAAAUCCACUGUCAACAGUCAUGAGGUCUUUAUGCAUACUAGAACAUUGGGUCUCAACCUUUCUGGACUUGUGCAAUGAGAGAUGCCCCCUUGAGAUACCAUCCAUGGCUUUUGUGAACUGAGUAGCACCCAGUUUCAAAAACUGAUUUAUACAUUACAAUCAAUGCUCAUCUACUCGCAGAGUAGGCAGGCAGGCCUGGGUUCAUUGACUUAGUUUCUCUUUAUCUCCUUACGCCUUGUUUAUCGCCUCACAUCUUGGGGGACUCUUAAGAGGUUUUGUUGGCAUCCAAGGGUGCCCCGACCCCCUGGUUGAAAAUGCUUUCCUUCUCUUGCUGAAUUAAUCCAUGCUUUUUUAUUCCCUUUUGGGUCUAAGCUGUCAAAUACCACAACAUAAUGCCCUGAGUAAUCUUACUAACGUUAGCAGUAAGAAUCUAAUCUAAUCUGGAGGUAAUUUUCUCUUCAUUUUCUCAAUUAUAUGGAUGUGUGCACAUAACAGCAGAUUUGUUAAUACAUUUUUUUUAGCUUCCAACUGUGUGAACAUUAUUUACAGUGCCCCUAAUAGUGUAUCGAAAGCUUUAGGCCUUAAACCAAACAUCACACUGCCACUUAUUUCUUACACUUCAUGGUAAAAGGGUGGGGCAAAAACAAUGGGAUAGGAUUAAGGGUGGAGGGAAAAGAGUUUAAAAGAAAGGGUGUGAGUUACUGCUUCUAGAUGAUAGUCAGCAUUUUAUGUGCAUGUAUGAUCAGCCUGAGAGGAAUAGACAGCUUGAAGUCUAGUGGCAUGUCUGUCCAAACCACUUAUCCAAGCUCAUCAGGAAGGUAUUUUCAGAUGGAGUAGGAGCAUAGAGGGUUUUUGCUUUCCUCAGUACUAUGGGAAAUUAUUUGCACUCUUUUCUUCCCCAGUUCUUUACCUGUAGGCCAUCAGAACUGGGGGUUUGGGGGUACUUUGAGACUGCAUUACAUCAAAAGAGCUGCAGCAGAUGUUCCUGGGGACUCUUUGGGACUAAUAGUUACCUGUGGAUGCAAGAGCCUGGACUCAAUGGCCUGGGAGGCCUCUUCCACUCUUUUGUCCCCAUGAUUUACAUCCAAACGCUGCAAGGUCUGGACAUAAAUGAAGUCUGAUAAGCAAAUAAACUGAUUCA
Molecule: RNA transcript, 3530 nt
Organism: Alligator sinensis (Chinese alligator)
Lineage: Eukaryota; Metazoa; Chordata; Crocodylia; Alligatoridae
Gene name: transmembrane emp24 domain-containing protein 2-like
Exons: 6
Source: RefSeq, a predicted model, not a curated record